CCCUUAGAUGUUCUGGGCCGCACGCGCGCUACACUGACGAAUGCAACGAGCUUAUAACCUUGGCCGAAAGGUCUGGGUAAUCUCCAAAUUUCGUCGUGAUGGGGAUAGAUUAUUGCAAUUAUUAAUCUUCAACGAGGAAUGCCUAGUAAGCGCAAGUCAUCAGCUUGCGUUGAUUACGUCCCUGCCCUUUGUACACACCGCCCGUCGCUCCUACCGAUUGAGUGUUCCGGUGAAUAAUUCGGACUGCAGUAGCGUGAGGACUCCUCACCUGCAGCGGAAAGUUUGGUGAACCUUAACACUUAGAGGAAGGAGAAGUCGUAACA
RNAcentral lists this ribosomal RNA (323 nucleotides) under uncultured eukaryote. RNAcentral describes it as "partial 18S ribosomal RNA". It matches the Rfam family "Eukaryotic small subunit ribosomal RNA", at positions 1470 to 1796 of the family's 1831-position model. The record is from RNAcentral.